RNAcentral lists this transfer RNA (84 nucleotides) under Paludibacteraceae bacterium. Its description in RNAcentral is "tRNA-Leu". It matches the Rfam family "tRNA". From Rfam's summary of the family: Transfer RNA (tRNA) molecules are approximately 80 nucleotides in length. Their secondary structure includes four short double-helical elements and three loops (D, anti-codon, and T loops). The record is from RNAcentral. RNAcentral also lists the same sequence under 1 other name. Lineage: Bacteria; Pseudomonadati; Bacteroidota; Bacteroidia; Bacteroidales; Paludibacteraceae.
GCGCAAGUGGUGAAAUUGGUAUACACGCUACUUUGAGGGGGUAGUGGGGGCAACCCUGUGUGAGUUCGAGUCUCAUCUUGCGCA